Equus asinus (donkey) is the source of this 1016-nucleotide long non-coding RNA. Lineage: Eukaryota; Metazoa; Chordata; Mammalia; Perissodactyla; Equidae. The record is from Ensembl.
UUAUAAUAGUCAUCCACUUAAUGAAGACUCUAAAUAAGAUAAAUUGUAUUGUGAACAAAUCCAACAAGAAGAUUUUAAUAAAAGAAUCUUGCACUCAAGACUGAGCUUGAAGGACAAUUACGGAAUGGAAAUGAGUUGCUCAUGUUCCACAAGGCUAUGUUUUCAUCAAUUCAAUGAAGAUUCAGGCCUGCAUUGAAAUCCCAGCUCACUCCUGAUUAGUCACCUGCCUCAGGAGGCUAUAGCCCUCAGGGGGCUCUUGUCCUGGACUGACUUUGAGAAACUGAGGAAAGCUAUGGACACUUCUCCCAGUUCUGGAGUUCGGAAAUUCUAAAAUCAGUGUCAGCAGACUGUGCUCCUUCCGGAGGCUCUAGGAGAGAAUGGAUUUUCUUGCCUUUUCCUGCUUCUAGAGCCCACUUGCAUUCUUUGGUCUACGGCGACUGCCUCCAUCCUCAAAGCCAACAGCCUAACUUUGUCAAAUGUCUCUGCUGUCACCUUCCUAUCUCCAGCUUUCACUCUGCCUCUUCUGCAGCCCUCUUUCCCUUUGUAAGGGCUCCUGUGAUUACACUGGGCCCGCUUGGAUAAGCUAGGAUAAUCUUCCCAUCCCAAUGUACUUAACUCAAUCAUAUCUGCUAAGUCCCUUUUGUAUUUAAGGUAACAUACUCGCAGGUUCUGGGAAUUAGGACAUAGACAUCUUAGGGUGUGUGUGGGUGGGGGAAUGGGACAUUAUUCUGUCUACACAGCAUCCAUUUAUUGUCAUCUCUGUAACACACACUAGUUCUUGGUUGAUUAUCAUUACUGUCACCAUCAGUCAAAUAAAAUUAAUAACUGUGGACGUCAGUUAAGCAGUUUCAACUUCUAGCAUUUGGUAGGACUCCAAUAGCCACUCCAUGAACUAUGAAAAACUUCUGAAAUUAGAUAUUUAUACCCAUUUAAUAAUGAUGUUUCCAAUCCUCUAAUGUAAAACCUGCAUACUAUGGAAACAUGGUCAAAUGAGCCUGUAUUUCGAGACCAACUGA